Molecule: ribosomal RNA, 468 nt
Filed under: uncultured bacterium
Lineage: Bacteria
Description: partial 16S ribosomal RNA
Rfam family: Bacterial small subunit ribosomal RNA
Source: RNAcentral
GACGAACGCUGGCGGCGUGCUUAACACACGCAAGUCGAACGGAAAGGCCCUGCUUUUGUGGGGUGCUCGAGUGGCGAACGGGUGAGUAACACGUGAGUAACCUGCCCUUGACUUUGGGAUAACUUCAGGAAACUGGGGCUAAUACCGGAUAGGAGCUCCUGCUGCAUGGUGGGGGUUGGAAAGUUUCGGCGGUUGGGGAUGGACUCGCGGCUUAUCAGCUUGUUGGUGGGGUAGUGGCUUACCAAGGCUUUGACGGGUAGCCGGCCUGAGAGGGUGACCGGCCACAUUGGGACUGAGAUACGGCCCAGACUCCUACGGGAGGCAGCAGUGGGGAAUAUUGCACAAUGGGCGGAAGCAUGAUCCAGCAACGCCGCGUGCGGGAUGACGGCCUUCGGGUUGUAAACCGCUUUCGCCUGUGACGAAGCGUGAGUGACGGUAAUGGGUAAAGAAGCACGGGCUAACUACGUG